UUAUCAACCAUUCAAGCCUGGCUUGUCGUUAGACCCGUUGUCGCUUUGUGGCGACAGGUCCGAAAGAUAAUGAACGGUGUCAUGGUGGCCCUAAAUGCAACGAGCUUUUAGUAGCACGCAUCUGGUGGCCAGCAGGCCCGGUCUUAACCCAUUAUUUCAAGGUUGACCUCGGAUCAGGUAGGAAUACCCGCUGAACUUAA
Molecule: unclassified non-coding RNA, 200 nt
Filed under: soil metagenome
Description: partial contains internal transcribed spacer 2 and large subunit ribosomal RNA
Source: RNAcentral